UACAGAGGGUGCAAACGUUGUUCGGAAUUACUGGGUUUAAAGGGUGCGUAGGCGGCUUGUUAAGUCAGGGGUGAAAGUUUGCGGCUCAACCGUAAAAUUGCUUUUGAUACUGGCAGGCUAGAAUUAGGAUGAGGUUAGCGGAAUGUGGCAUGUAGCGGUGAAAUGCAUAGAUAUGGCAUAGAACACCAAUUGCGAAGGCAGCUGGCUAGACCUAUAUUGACGCUGAGGCACGAAAGCGUGGGGAGCGAACAGG
Molecule: ribosomal RNA, 253 nt
Filed under: uncultured bacterium
Lineage: Bacteria
Description: partial 16S ribosomal RNA
Rfam family: Bacterial small subunit ribosomal RNA
Source: RNAcentral